Molecule: long non-coding RNA, 206 nt
Filed under: Elaeis guineensis (African oil palm)
Lineage: Eukaryota; Viridiplantae; Streptophyta; Magnoliopsida; Arecales; Arecaceae
Description: long non-coding RNA (EGUI_LNC026301)
Source: RNAcentral
UCAACAACUUCAAAAGAGGCAGGAGCAGCCAUCAAAAAAAGCUUCUCCUCCAAAUGCUUUAUCUUAAUAUAGCUCUCAACCAGCCCAUCAAGACAAACACCAUAUUGAUGAGGCUGACAGUGAAUUUGCCUCCAACACUUUGAAAGUUUAAAAAGGGGAUGACCUAGACCACAAGGUCCUGAAUCUUGAAAAGCAUAUAAUAGAGC